Molecule: unclassified non-coding RNA, 1992 nt
Filed under: Caenorhabditis elegans
Lineage: Eukaryota; Metazoa; Nematoda; Chromadorea; Rhabditida; Rhabditidae
Description: Non-coding transcript of protein-coding gene ddx-17
Source: RNAcentral
AUGGGAGACAGAGGAUACGGAGGUUCUAGAAGCUAUGGAGGAAGCAGCGGUGGUGGAUCCCGCGGAGGAUAUGGAGGUGGAGGCCGUGGUGGCGGCGGCGGAGGAUACAGCGGUGGUCGUGGUGGUGGAUAUGGAGGAGGUGGCGGUGGAGGCUACGGAGGAGGUGGUUAUGGCGGCGGUGGCCGUGGAGGAGGUCGUGGAGGAUCCAAUGGUUCAGCUGGAGGACGCCUUCGCGAUGUCGACUGGUCUGCCGAGAACCUUACUCCGAUUGAGAAGGAUUUCUAUCACGAGAAUGCAGCCGUAUCCCGCCGUGAGCAGUAUGAGAUUGAUCAAUGGGUAUCAGCAAAUCAAGUUACUCUCGAAGGCCGUGGUGUCCCACGCCCGGUUUUCGAAUUCAACGAGGCACCAUUGCCAGGACAGAUUCACGAGCUUUUGUACGGAAAGUUCCAGAAACCAACAGUUAUUCAGUCAAUCUCCUGGCCGAUUGCCAUGAGCGGACGUGAUAUUAUCUCUAUCGCCAAAACUGGUUCCGGAAAAACACUUGCCUUCAUGCUCCCAGCUCUCGUCCACAUCACAAAACAGGCUCACCGUCAACGCGGAGAAGGACCAGCCGUUCUUGUUUUGCUUCCAACUCGUGAAUUGGCUCAACAAGUUCAAGAAGUAUCAAUCGAUUUCUGCCACUCGUUAGGACUCAAGAUGACCUGUCUCUUCGGAGGAGCAUCCAAAGGACCACAAGCUCGUGAUCUCGAGCGUGGAGUUGAUAUCGUUGUUGCCACUCCGGGACGUCUUCUCGAUUUCCUUGAUAACGGAACUACCAACAUGAAGAAGUGCUCUUACUUGGUUCUUGAUGAAGCCGAUCGUAUGCUUGAUAUGGGUUUCGAACCACAAAUCAAGAAAAUCAUCGGACAGAUUCGCCCAGACAGACAAACACUCAUGUUCUCCGCCACAUGGCCAAAGGAAGUUCGUGCGUUGGCUUCAGAUUUCCAGAAAGACGCUGCUUUCCUCAACGUCGGAUCCCUUGAGCUCGCUGCCAAUCACAACAUCACACAAGUCGUCGAUAUUCUCGAAGAACAUGCAAAGCAAGCCAAACUCAUGGAGCUCCUCAAUCAUAUCAUGAAUCAAAAGGAAUGCAAAACCAUUAUUUUUGUUGAGACAAAGCGGAAAGCCGAUGAAUUGACUCGUGCUAUGCGUCGCGAUGGAUGGCCAACUCUCUGUAUUCACGGUGACAAAAACCAAGGAGAAAGAGACUGGGUUCUUCAAGAAUUCAAAGCAGGAAAAACACCAAUCAUGUUGGCCACCGAUGUUGCCGCGCGUGGAUUGGUUACACCAACUUGAUUUGGCCGAGAGGAUUGAUCGAAAUGCAAUGCAGUUGAUUUUGGCAGCGUCUUGUGACGUUAUCAUAUCAUACGUUGCAGAUGUGUAGUGGCAGAGAGUACCUUCUGGUGCUCUGUGAAUGAAAUCUACACAUCGAGUCGAAGAAAGCGGUUCAGUUUCGCAAGCCGCCAGUAUUGCAGUCAUAUACAUUGAGUGCUGUUGUGGCUUGUGCAGGCUGUUCCGAUGACUCAUCAGUGACUCCGUCGAAUUUUUCUCCUCUUCCCCAUUCCCAUCUUUAGAAUUCUGGGUUCAGAUGUCGAUGAUAUCAAAUUCGUGAUCAACUAUGAUUAUCCAAACAACUCUGAAGACUAUGUUCACAGAAUCGGUCGUACUGGUCGUAGUGACAAAAAGGGAACCGCCUACACUUUCUUCACUCAUACAAACGCUUCCAAGGCAAAGGAUCUGUUGAAGGUUCUCGAUGAGGCUAAGCAGACUGUUCCACAAGCUCUUCGUGAUAUGGCAAACCGCAGUUACGGAGGUAGCAACUCAAGGGGUCGCUAUGGAGGUGGUGGUUUCCAGAAGAGAGGAUACGGAGGAAACGAUAACUUUGCUCCAAAGAGGCCACGAUAUGACAACGGAGGAUACGGUGGAGGCAGCGGUGGAGGUGGCCGAUGGUAG